CGAGUGAAGCAGCAAUAGCUCAAAUUUGAAAUCUGGCGUCUUCGACGUCCGAGUUGUAAUUUGUAGAGGAUGCUUCUGAGUAACCACCGACCUAAGUUCCUUGGAACAGGACGUCAUAGAGGGUGAGAAUCCCGUAUGCGGUCGGAAAGGUGCUCUACACGUAGCUCCUUCGACGAGUCGAGUUGUUUGGGAAUGCAGCUCUAAAUGGGAGGUAAAUUUCUUCUAAAGCUAAAUAUUGGCCAGAGACCGAUAGCGCACAAGUAGAGUGAUCGAAAGAUGAAAAGCACUUUGGAAAGAGAGUUAAAAAGCACGUGAAAUUGUUAAAAGGGAAGGGAUUGCAACCAGACUUGCUCGCGGUGUUCCGCCGGUCUUCUGACCGGUCUACUCGCCGCGUUGCAGGCCAGCAUCGUCUGGUGCCGCUGGAUAAGACUUGAGGAAUGUAGCUCCCUCGGGAGUGUUAUAGCCUCUUGUGAUGCAGCGAGCGCCGGGCGAGGUCCGCGCUUCGGCUAGGAUGCUGGCGUAAUGGUCGUAAUCCGCCCG
RNAcentral lists this ribosomal RNA (540 nucleotides) under Cladosporium cladosporioides. Its description in RNAcentral is "eukaryotic LSU rRNA". It matches the Rfam family "Eukaryotic large subunit ribosomal RNA", at positions 90 to 651 of the family's 3401-position model. Lineage: Eukaryota; Fungi; Ascomycota; Dothideomycetes; Cladosporiales; Cladosporiaceae. The record is from RNAcentral.